AUUCUGGUUGAUCCUGCCAGUAGUUAUAUGCUUGUCUCAAAGAUUAAGCCAUGCAUGUCUAAGUACACACGAAUUAAAAGUGAAACCGCAAAAAGCUCAUUAUAUCAGUUAUGGUUCUUUAGAUCGUUAACAGUUACUUGGAUAACUGUGGUAAUUCUAGAGCUAAUACAUGCAAUUAAAACAUGAACCUUAUGGGACAUGUGCUUUUAUUAGGCUAAAACCAAGCGAUCGCAAGAUCGUUAUAUUGGUUGAACUCUAGAUAACAUGCAGAUCGUAUGGUCUUGUACCGACGACAGAUCUUUCAAAUGUCUGCCCUAUCAACUUUUAAUGGUAGUAUCUAGGACUACCCUGGUUGCAACGGGUAACGGGGAAUCAGGGUUCGAUUCCGGAGAGGGAGCCUGAGAAACGGAUACCACAUCUAAGGAAGGCAGCAGGCGCGUAAAUUACCCACUCCCAGCUCGGGGAGGUAGUGACGAAAAAUAACAAUACAGGACUCAUAUCCGAGGCCCUGUAAUUGGAAUGAGUACACUUUAAAUCCUUUAACAAGGACCAAUUGGAGGGCAAGUCUGGUGCCAGCAGCCGCGGUAAUUCCAGCUCCAAUAGCGUAUAUUAAAGUUGUUGCGGUUAAAACGUUCGUAGUUGAACUUGUGCUUCAUACGGGUAGUACAACUUACAAUUGUGGUUAGUACUGUACCUUUAUGUAUGUAAGCGUAUUACCGGUGGAGUUCUUAUAUGUGAUUAAAUACUUGUAUUUUUUCAUAUGUUCCUCCUAUUUAAAAACCUGCAUUAGUGCUCUUAAACGAGUGUUAUUGUGGGCCGGUACUAUUACUUUGAACAAAUUAGAGUGCUUAAAGCAGGCUUCAAAUGCCUGAAUAUUCUGUGCAUGGGAUAAUGAAAUAAGACCUCUGUUCUGCUUUCAUUGGUUUUCAGAUCAAGAGGUAAUUAUUAAUAGAAGCAGUUUGAGGGCUUAAGACUAACUUAAGCGAAAGCAUUUGCCAAAGAUGUUUUCAUUAAUCAAGAACGAAAGUUAGAGGUUCGACGGCGAUCAGAUACCGCCCUUGUUCUAACCAGAAACGAUGCCAGCUAGCAAUUGGGUGUAGCUACUUUUAUGGCUCUCUCAGUCGCUUCCCGGGAAACCAAAGCUUUUGGGCUCCGGGGGAAGUAUGGUUGCAAAGCUGAAACUUAAAGGAAUUGACGGAAGGGCACCACCAGGAGUGGAGCCUGCGGCUUAAUUUGACUCAACACGGGAAAACUUACCAGGUCCGUGUGUAAGACAGAUUGAUAGCUCUUUCUCGAAUCUAUGGGUGGUGGCGCAUGGCCGUUCUUAGUUCGUGGAGUGAUUUGUCUGGUUAAUUCCGAUAACGAACGAGACUCAAAUAUAUUAAAUAGAUAUCUUCAGGAUUAUGGUGCUGAAGCUUAUGUAGCCUUCAUUCAUGUUGGCAGUAAAAUUCUUAUUGUGUUUGAAUGUGUUUAUGUAAGUGGAGCCGUACCUGUUGGUUUGUCCCAUUAUAAGGACACUAGCUUCUUAAACAGACAAAUUGCGUCUAACAACAAUGAGAUUUAGCAAUAACAGGUCUGUGAUGCCCUUAGAUGUCCUGGGCUGCACGCGCGCUACAAUGAAAGUAUCAACGUGUAUUUACUAGUCCGAGAGGUCCGGGUAAACCGCUGAACCACUUUCAUGCUUGGGAUUGUGAACAUGAACUUGGAAUUCCCAGUAAGUGUGAGUCAUUAACUCGCAUUGAUUACGUCCCUGCCCUUUGUACACACCGCCCGUCGCUACUACCGAUUGAAUUAUUUAGUGAGGUCUCCGGACGUGAUCACUGUGACGCCUUGCGUGUUACGGUUGUUUCGCAAAAGUUGACCGAACUUGAUUAUUUAGAGGAAGUAAAAGUCGUAACAAGGUUUCCGUAGGUGAACCUGCGGAAGGAUCAUUA
Drosophila melanogaster (fruit fly) is the source of this 1934-nucleotide ribosomal RNA. It matches the Rfam family "Eukaryotic small subunit ribosomal RNA". Lineage: Eukaryota; Metazoa; Arthropoda; Insecta; Diptera; Drosophilidae. The record is from Rfam.